Molecule: ribosomal RNA, 777 nt
Filed under: Pristimantis mazar
Lineage: Eukaryota; Metazoa; Chordata; Amphibia; Anura; Strabomantidae
Description: partial 16S ribosomal RNA
Rfam family: Bacterial large subunit ribosomal RNA
Source: RNAcentral
UACUAGCACCUUCAAUUAUAUUGAGAACUUCUAUAACCCUAUAGAACCUUUUAUGCUGAAACUAGUAACAAGAGAAAACCNNNCUCUCAUAAUGCAAACAUAAGCCAGCAAGAACCUAUCACUGGCAAUUAACAACCCCCAAACANNAGUAGCAACCUCACUAGAAAACCCUACUUACACCAACUGUUAACCUAACACCAGAGCAUUUCAAGAAAGAUUAAAAGAAAAAGAAGGAACUCGGCAAAUCCAAGUCCCGCCUGUUUACCAAAAACAUCGCCUCUUGCCUCCCCAUAAGAGGUCCAACCUGCCCAGUGACCCUGUUCAACGGCCGCGGUAUCCUAACCGUGCGAAGGUAGCGUAAUCACUUGUUUUCUAAAUAAAGACCUGUAUGAAGGGUAUAACGAGGACUAAACUGUCUCCUUUUUCCAAUCAGUGAACCUAAUCUCCCCGUGAAAAAGCGGGGAUUCCCUUAUAAGACGAGAAGACCCUGUGGAGCUUAAAACAUUAUAACACCUGCCACCACCCCUUNACUACACCNAGUAUUACCCAACCAGCAUCUUGAUUUUAUGUUUUUGGUUGGGGUGACCGCGGAGAAAACCCCAUCCUCCGCGAUGAAAGUGGGNNCCUCCCCCUUAGCAACAAGUUACAACUUUAUGCAUCAAUAAAUUGACAUCCAUUGACCCAAUAAAUUGAUUAACGAACCAAGUUACCCCAGGGAUAACAGCGCAAUCCACNUUUGAGAGCCCCUAUCGACAAGUGGGCUUACGACCUCGAUGU